CCUACGGGAGGCAGCAGUGAGGAAUAUUGGUCAAUGGGCGAGAGCCUGAACCAGCCAAGUAGCGUGAAGGAUGACUGCCCUAUGGGUUGUAAACCUCUUUUAUAUGGGAAUAAAGUUCAGCAUGUAUACCGUUCCGUAUGUACCCUAUGAAUAAGCAUCGGCUAACUCCGUGCCAGCAGCCGCGGUAAUACGGAGGAUGCGAGCGUUAUCCGGAUUUAUUGGGUUUAAAGGGUGCGCAGGCGGACGAUAAAGUCAUUGGUAAAAUUGAGGGGCUCAACCUAAUAGAGCCGUUGAAACUGGGUGUCUUGAGUGAGGGAGAGGUAGGCGGAAUGCGUGGUGUAGCGGUGAAAUGCUUAGAUAUCACGCAGAACUCCGAUUGCGAAGGCAGCAUACUGG
This 396-nucleotide ribosomal RNA is filed under the name uncultured bacterium. RNAcentral's name for it is "partial 16S ribosomal RNA". It matches the Rfam family "Bacterial small subunit ribosomal RNA", at positions 338 to 732 of the family's 1533-position model. The record is from RNAcentral.